UUAAUUGAAACUAAAAAUUAGUAUAUUAUUGUUAAUAAUACUUAUGAAAAAUAAAAAUUUCCAAUUAAA
Molecule: transfer RNA, 69 nt
Filed under: Megabeleses sp.
Lineage: Eukaryota; Metazoa; Arthropoda; Insecta; Hymenoptera; Tenthredinidae
Description: tRNA-Asn
Source: RNAcentral